GCAGCUGUAGCUGAAUGGUUACGGUGUUUGCUUUGUAAGCGAAUGGAUCUGGGUUCGAUUCUCAUCUGCUUCU
Transfer RNA from Culex pipiens (northern house mosquito), 73 nucleotides. It matches the Rfam family "tRNA". From Rfam's summary of the family: Transfer RNA (tRNA) molecules are approximately 80 nucleotides in length. Their secondary structure includes four short double-helical elements and three loops (D, anti-codon, and T loops). NCBI's taxonomy places the organism in Eukaryota, Metazoa, Arthropoda, Insecta, Diptera, Culicidae. The record is from Rfam.